GAUAAAUUCCAGUGACAUGCAAUUUUUGUAAUGGCAAAAUAUUUGUAAGAAACUGCAAACAAAUGCAAAUGUGCAGUCGAUGUGUGGAAUGCGACAACAUUAUACUCGAUAAUUUCAAUUAUUGCGAGUGUUGUGGCUUAGAAACAAUUAGGCAGUUAAGAAUAAACAAGGCUCGGGCACUAUCAAGCCUUUUUCCUAAAAAGCAAAAAGCUGCUUCUGCUGCAUCACAAGAUUUAUUAGAUGACUUUCAGGUUGAUAACGAAGAGUUGACGCUAAUCGAGGAUUCAUUAAUGAUUGAUGAUGCUUCUUCGGACAACAAGAAAAAACAGCUACUGUCAGUCAGCAGUGAUGAUGCUUCUUCGGACAACAAGGAAAAACAGGUGCUGUCAGUCGGCAGUGAUUUUAUUUCUUUAAAAGAAGAAGAGAAAGAAAACAUAUCAAAUGGCGGGCAGACCCCCGAAAAAACGUAAAUAUUCAAGCAGGUUUAGUACAGAAUAUCAGCACCCCAGGACUAACUAUUUAUAUUUAGCACUUUCAAAUAACACCAUUCAAGUAUCAGUACAUUCAGUUGGUUCUAUGAUUUAUGAAUGUGUUCAAUGUCAAGCACUUCAUUUUUUAGGUGAAAAAAUUAAAAAUCAUUUUAAAAAUUGUUGUCAUAAUGGGAAGGUAUACAUAGACCCAGACAGAGUCUUAAAGCCAAUUCCAGAAAUAUUAUUAGCAUUUUUUUUAACUAAACAGAACAGAUGAAAGUGCUCGACAAUAUCUUUACACUGAAAUUCCGACUCCGAUAUCUCAGUCAGCGGCUGAUAAAGUAAUUGCAAGAAUGUAUAAUUAUUCCUUUUCUGAUCGGGAACGAUAUUAUCUCCGGCUAUUACUUCUUCACGUCAAAGGGCCGACUUGCUUCAGAGAUGUUAGAACUUAUUAAUAUGAAAAUAUUAUUUACACAUCAUUUCGAGAAGCUGCUCAAGCAAGGGGGCUGCUUUUUGACGAUCAAGAAUGGGAAAGAUGUUUGGAUGAAGCAAUUGGUUUCAAACUUCCUCGGCAAUUACGACAGCUGUUUACGUUAAUUUGCGUGUUUUGUGAAGUAACUGAUCCUAAUGCUCUUUGGGAAAAAUUUGCAUCACAUUUUAUCGAAGACUUUACAAGAUCCCGCCCUGAAAUAUUAUCCAAACAGUUGGCUUUACAAGAAAUUGAUGAAACAUUAAAACUCCACGGAAAGAGACUAACAGAUUUCGGACUUCCGGAGCCAGGUAUUGAUGAAAAUAGUAUUUUCUUAUCUGAUCCCGUUUCUGACUAUUAAUAAGAGUUAUUUACAUAACCUAUAUUAACGAUUGAAUUUGAUUGUUUUGUUAAUUUGUCUUAGUUUAUUUUGAAUGUUGAUUUAAAAUAAAAAUAAUUUGUGUA
This is a long non-coding RNA of Ostrinia nubilalis (European corn borer), 1404 nucleotides long. RefSeq lists it as uncharacterized. The transcript is spliced from 3 exons. The record is from RefSeq and is a predicted model, not a curated record. Lineage: Eukaryota; Metazoa; Arthropoda; Insecta; Lepidoptera; Crambidae.